Molecule: ribosomal RNA, 253 nt
Filed under: uncultured prokaryote
Description: partial 16S ribosomal RNA
Rfam family: Bacterial small subunit ribosomal RNA
Source: RNAcentral
ACGUAGGGCGCAAGCGUUGUCCGGAAUUAUUGGGCGUAAAGAGCUCGUAGGCGGUUUGUCGCGUCUGGUGUGAAAACUCGAGGCUCAACCUCGAGCUUGCAUCGGGUACGGGCAGACUAGAGUGCGGUAGGGGAGACUGGAAUUCCUGGUGUAGCGGUGGAAUGCGCAGAUAUCAGGAGGAACACCGAUGGCGAAGGCAGGUCUCUGGGCCGCAACUGACGCUGAGGAGCGAAAGCAUGGGGAGCGAACAGGA